UAGGUUGAAGCCAGUUGUUUAGGGUGUUUAGCUGUUAACUAAGAUUUCGUGGGUUAGAAGCCCAUCAACCUAG
RNAcentral lists this transfer RNA (73 nucleotides) under Taphozous melanopogon (black-bearded tomb bat). RNAcentral's name for it is "tRNA-Asn". It matches the Rfam family "tRNA". Rfam says of the family: Transfer RNA (tRNA) molecules are approximately 80 nucleotides in length. Lineage: Eukaryota; Metazoa; Chordata; Mammalia; Chiroptera; Emballonuridae. The record is from RNAcentral.